UACAGAGGUCUCAAGCGUUGUUCGGAUUCAUUGGGCGUAAAGGGUGUGUAGGUGGCGCGCUAAGUCGGGUGUGAAAUUUUGGAGCUUAACUCCGAAACUGCAUUCGAUACUGGCGUGCUUGAGGACUGGAGAGGAGACUGGAAUUCAUGGUGUAGCAGUGAAAUGCGUAGAGAUCAUGAGGAAGACCAGUGGCGAAGGCGGGUCUCUGGACAGUUCCUGACACUGAGACACGAAGGCCCAGGGGGAGCAAAACGGGG
Molecule: ribosomal RNA, 257 nt
Filed under: uncultured bacterium
Lineage: Bacteria
Description: partial 16S ribosomal RNA
Rfam family: Bacterial small subunit ribosomal RNA
Source: RNAcentral